UCUGGGGGAGUCACACAGGAACCCAGGGACUAUGUAUAUGAGCUGCCAGACACUCCAAGACACUGAACGCUCAGCCUGAGGCACAACGAAACACACUUGUGCAGGGGAAUCCGUGCCACAUGCCGCUCUCCAGCCUGCUCUGGCUCUUCCUGGCCUCCGUCUUCUCUGGAUCCAGUGUGACCCAGAAAGUUAUUCAAGACCAGCCAGUUGUACCCAGUCAAGUUGGGGAGUCAGUCACCUUAAACUGUCAGUGUGAAACAUCGCAGAGGGAUUACUACCUUUUUUGGUAUAAACAGCCUCCCAGUGGAGAGAUGAUUUACCUUAAUCUUUGGGAUUCUUCUAGACAAAAUACAAAGGAUGGCCACUACUCCAUAAACUUCCAGAAAGCACAAAAAUCCAGCAGUCUCACCAUUUCAGCCUUACAGCUGAACGAUUCUGCAACGUACUUCUGUGCUCUCUGGGAGCUCACAGUGCCUGAAGCAAUAGGAGAGGCUGAACAAAAACCCCAGAACUCAAUAAUAGAGAGCCCCUCUGCUAUAGGACUCAAGCUGAACUCCACACCUGCAGACCCCAAACAAGAAAUAGUCAUGUUGUGGUUGCUUCAUCUGUGGUUUGGAUCAAACAUUUAAUUCUAAGUAAAAUCU
This is a non-coding RNA of Sus scrofa (pig), 644 nucleotides long. Lineage: Eukaryota; Metazoa; Chordata; Mammalia; Artiodactyla; Suidae. The record is from the annotation of a RefSeq genome assembly.